GACCUGCUCCCCGAUGGUGCUGGCAGCCAUACCUUUUACUCAGCUGGAAACCUGAGAAGGGCACACAGCGAAGGAGGAUAAAAGUCAGCUGGCCCCUCCAGGCCCACAGGAGUAAAGGAUCAUUCGUUUGACAGCCUCGUAACAGAGACUCUUAAUUAGUUCUCGGCUUUGACAGAAUGUUGCCCCACCCCCAAGCAACCAAGGAGAAGGUGGUGAGUCAGCAAUUUAAUAGUCUGUCUUGACCCUGGAGCUUUUAAUUUUUUUAAAUGUUUAUUUUUGAGAGAGAGAGAGAGAGAGAGAGCAGAAGUGGGGGAGGGCCAGAGAGACACAGAAUCCGAAGCAGGCUCCAGGCUCUGAGCUGUCAGCACAGAGCCCAACGUAGGGCUCGAACCCACAACUGAGCCGAAGUCAGACGCUUAACCGACUGAGCCACCCGGGCGCCCCUUGACCCGAAAGCUUUAACCUAGCUUGGUACAUAUCCAAACUGUGCCUGCCAACUCACCAAGGCAAGGAAACCGUACACACCCAAGUGAAGUCUCACACACCAGGAAUGAGCAUGUUUUCAAAGUCUGUUGAUGCAGCCAACACAGCCAUACUAAGAAGAAAAAGGGGAGUAGAGAACUAUUUCUUAUAAAAAUAAGUCCUACCAACCUGCCUUUCAAGCAUCAAACAAGACAGAACUGUUCACAAAGAAACCUUGCCAAAAGAAGGAAAUUUCAAAUAUUUGGAAUUAAACCAAAAUACUAAACCAAAGCGAUGAAACAGCUUGAAGUAGAAACGUUUGGAUUGAGCGUUAAUUGGAAACAAACUGGAGAUCCAUUAACAUCGUAGAAGUUUGAGAUCUUCAGCUCAAAUACCAGCUGUGGGAGGGAUUUCCCAAACCCCAAUUUAAAGCCUUCAAGAAAGAAAGGAGAGGAAAGAAAGAAAGAAAAGAAAAAGGAGCUUCCUGGUCACUCACUCUAUUUCACAUCACCAACCUCAUCAUAUUGUCCUAUUUCAUUUUUUCUACAGCAUGUAGUUGAAAUUAUUUUCUGUAGAGCGUCCUCAAGUGCAGGCAUCCUCUCUGUCUUAUUUUCCAUUUUGCCCCAGCUCCUUGGCAGGUACUCAGUACAUAUUUGUUGACGGAAUGACAAAAUGAAUGUUAGGCAUUGCUCAUUGGAGAUAUUUUCCUUCAACAUGGUAACACCGAAAAAAAAAAAUCUCUGUUUGGGAUUUGCCUCAAAAGCAUACCUGGACAGUGUUGAUAGCAUAGUGAUCAGUGGCACAGAAUGGCCCGGCAGAAUACCCGGCUGUGUCUCCUUCGAAACCCAGAAAAGCACCCACUAACUAUCUCUUGAGUGAACGUUUCAAAAUUUAGUUCAAGUUUGGGCUCACAGCUUUAAGAACACGUUAUUUUGAAACACUCACACAGUGGGGCCCAGAUGGUAGCAGAAGACUGAGAAUGAAAUAUGAGAUGCUUUUGAAGAUAAAGUCCACGCUUAAGGAAUACCUAUACUUACUAACCUCAAAAAAUGUUUGUCUUCUGUCUUCCAUGAAAACGAAGAUAUUGAAGUCUUUAUUCAACCACAUGCAUCACAUAAUUUGUUGUCUUGGCUGUUUUAUGCAACACACAGAAGGGAGUUUCAGAGAUGUUAGUUCUUGUUCAAACUCUGCCACUUACUAGCUUGAGUAAAUCACGAGUCCUACAUUCUUUAUCUGUUAAAAAUUAAAGAAGCAGUAAAACCCACCAACGCUCUUGUGCCGUCUCCCCCCCUCUCGGUGGCUAUUAGACUCCAGAGAUAUUACAUAUGUGAACGUGCUUCGUAAUAGUGUCAACUGUUAAGGGUUGUCAGGAUAUUACCUAUUUUUUUACAUUGAUGAUAGAAGAAAGUAAGCAUGUUAUUGAAGCCAGUGUCCCAUCUUGUCAGUUCAGAUGAAGGAAUGAACAGAAGUCCUAUCACCCACAGACACAGCUGGAAUGGCCAAGGAACCUAUAGGAAUGCAACCCCACUAGAUUAACAUAAAGAAUAAAGAUAUUUUUCAGAUUCUAGGUCUCUUGAGAUGGAAAGGACCUCUGGGGAACCAGAACACCUGCUAGCAUGGCCUCAUGGACCACUGAUCAAUGGCAUCCACCUUCUCAAAAGACCCUUGCCCCAACUUUUGCACUUAAAAAUCCUCACUUGUUUAGGAUUUUUGAGCAUUAGCUCUCUGUUCUCCUGGGUGGUGCUAAACCAAUAAAUCACUUGUCUUUCUUCACUGCAAAA
Molecule: long non-coding RNA, 2243 nt
Organism: Felis catus (domestic cat)
Lineage: Eukaryota; Metazoa; Chordata; Mammalia; Carnivora; Felidae
Exons: 2
Source: RefSeq, a predicted model, not a curated record